This 495-nucleotide ribosomal RNA is filed under the name uncultured bacterium. RNAcentral's name for it is "partial 16S ribosomal RNA". It matches the Rfam family "Bacterial small subunit ribosomal RNA", at positions 30 to 507 of the family's 1533-position model. The record is from RNAcentral.
UGACCGCUGGCGGCGUGCCUACUACAUGCACGUCGAGCGAACGGACGCGAAGCUUGCUUCUCUGAUGUUAGCGGCGGACGGGUGAGUAACACGUGGAUAACCUACCUAUAAGACUGGGAUAACUUCGGGAAACCGGAGCUAAUACCGGAUGAUAUUUUGAACCGCAUGGUUCAAAAGUGAAAGACGGUCUUGCUGUCACUUAUAGAUGGAUCCGCGCUGCAUUAGCUAGUUGGUAAGGUAACGGCUUACCAAGGCAACGAUGCAUAGCCGACCUGAGAGGGUGAUCGGCCACACUGGAACUGAGACACGGUCCAGACUCCUACGGGAGGCAGCAGUAGGGAAUCUUCCGCAAUGGGCGAAAGCCUGACGGAGCAACGCCGCGUGAGUGAUGAAGGUCUUCGGAUCGUAAAACUCUGUUAUUAGGGAAGAACAUAUGUGUAAGUAACUGUGCACAUCUUGACGGUACCUAAUCAGAAAGCCACGGCUAACUACGUG